GACGAACGCUGGCGGCGUGCUUAACACAUGCAAGUCGAACGGAAAGGCCCUGCUUUUGUGGGGUGCUCGAGUGGCGAGCGGGUGAGUAACACGUUAGUAACCUUCCCUUUACUUUUGGAUAACUUCCGGAAACUGGGGCUAAUACCCGAUAGGAGCUCCUGCUGCAUGGUGGGGGUUGGAAAGUUUCGGCGGUUGGGGAUUGACUCGCGGCUUAUCAGCUUGUUGGUGGGGUAGUGGCUUACCAAGGCUUUGACGGGUAGCCGGCAUGAGAGGGUGACCGGGCACAAGAGGACUGAGAGAGGGACCAGAAUGCAAAGGGAGGCAAUGGGGGGAAGUAUUGCAGAGCGAGGGGGAGUCAGAGGUGGAAACGUCGGGAUCGGGAAAAACGGUUAUGAGGGAUAAACAGCUUUCGCAUGAGACAAAGAGGGAGUGACGGUAACGGAUAAAGAAGCACCGGCUAACUACGUG
RNAcentral lists this ribosomal RNA (468 nucleotides) under uncultured bacterium. RNAcentral's name for it is "partial 16S ribosomal RNA". It matches the Rfam family "Bacterial small subunit ribosomal RNA", at positions 28 to 507 of the family's 1533-position model. The record is from RNAcentral.